Pelobates cultripes (western spadefoot toad) is the source of this 85-nucleotide non-coding RNA. NCBI's taxonomy places the organism in Eukaryota, Metazoa, Chordata, Amphibia, Anura, Pelobatidae. The record is from the annotation of a GenBank genome assembly.
GUGUGUUUGUGCUUUAGGGUGCUUUUCUGUGACUGUAGCUUAGUUUAAACAAAGCUACAGUCACAGAAAAGCACCCUAAAUACAC